Molecule: non-coding RNA, 100 nt
Organism: Ictidomys tridecemlineatus (thirteen-lined ground squirrel)
Lineage: Eukaryota; Metazoa; Chordata; Mammalia; Rodentia; Sciuridae
Source: Rfam
AUCCUUUUGUGGUUCACAAGCAUGGGGAUUGGGUUUGCCCACAGUUGUCUGGGAAACACCUCCCUCAAACCUACCACAUUGGCACAUUACCCACCUGACA